This 299-nucleotide long non-coding RNA is filed under the name Microcebus murinus (gray mouse lemur). RNAcentral's name for it is "lncRNA (ENSMICG00000048461.1)". Lineage: Eukaryota; Metazoa; Chordata; Mammalia; Primates; Cheirogaleidae. The record is from RNAcentral.
CACCCUGCUUUUAUCUUGUUCCUUUCCUCCCACUGAGACCCAAACAAACCUCCCAGUAAACAAACUCUCAGGCCACUCUCUUAAAGAAACAGCACACACUUAUUGCCAGAGGGAUGUCCGUCUGGCUCAGGGCUGAUCUGCAGAGAGAUGGGCUGGCAGGUGUUAAAGAUCACUCUGGAAAGGUGCAGGAAGAAGUUGGCCUGGGCCAACCUCCACCCUCCCCUGCUGCAUCAAGUGAACGUAUCUCUGAUGUGAUAAUAUCAAACAAAGGGAAAAUAAGAUCAGAGGGACAAAUCUAG